This 73-nucleotide transfer RNA is filed under the name Gracilaria firma. Its description in RNAcentral is "tRNA-Asn". It matches the Rfam family "tRNA". Rfam says of the family: Transfer RNA (tRNA) molecules are approximately 80 nucleotides in length. Their secondary structure includes four short double-helical elements and three loops (D, anti-codon, and T loops). Further hydrogen bonds mediate the characteristic L-shaped molecular structure. tRNAs have two regions of fundamental functional importance: the anti-codon, which is responsible for specific mRNA codon recognition, and the 3' end, to which the tRNAs corresponding amino acid is attached (by aminoacyl-tRNA synthetases). tRNAs cope with the degeneracy of the genetic code in two manners: having more than one tRNA (with a specific anti-codon) for a particular amino acid; and 'wobble' base-pairing, i.e. permitting non-standard base-pairing at the 3rd anti-codon position. Lineage: Eukaryota; Rhodophyta; Florideophyceae; Gracilariales; Gracilariaceae. The record is from RNAcentral.
UCCUCAGUAGCUCAGUGGUAGAGCGAUCGGCUGUUAACCGAUUGGUCGUAGGUUCAAAUCCUUCCUGAGGAGU